RNAcentral lists this ribosomal RNA (292 nucleotides) under uncultured prokaryote. RNAcentral describes it as "partial 16S ribosomal RNA". It matches the Rfam family "Bacterial small subunit ribosomal RNA", at positions 505 to 796 of the family's 1533-position model. The record is from RNAcentral.
GUGUCAGCCGCCGCGGUAAUACGUAGGUGGCAAGCGUUGUCCGGAUUUAUUGGGCGUAAAGCGAGCGCAGGCGGUUUCUUAAGUCUGAUGUGAAAGCCCCCGGCUCAACCGGGGAGGGUCAUUGGAAACUGGGAGACUUGAGUGCAGAAGAGGAGAGUGGAAUUCCAUGUGUAGCGGUGAAAUGCGCAGAGAUAUGGAGGAACACCAGUGGCGAAGGCGACUUUCUGGUCUGUAACUGACGCUGGUGUGCGAAAGCGUGGGGAUCAAACAGGAUUAGAAACCCUCGUAGUCC